RNAcentral lists this ribosomal RNA (400 nucleotides) under uncultured Telonemia. RNAcentral's name for it is "partial small subunit ribosomal RNA". It matches the Rfam family "Eukaryotic small subunit ribosomal RNA", at positions 30 to 432 of the family's 1831-position model. Lineage: Eukaryota; Telonemia. The record is from RNAcentral.
GCUUGUCUCAAAGAUUAAGCCAUGCAUGUCUAAGUAUAAGCAACUUGUACUGUGAAACUGCGAAUGGCUCAUUAAAUCAGUUAUCGUUUAUUUGAUAGUACCUUACUACAUGGAUACCUGUGGUAAUUCUAGAGCUAAUACAUGCUAAAAACCCCGACUUCAGGAAGGGGUGUAUUUAUUAGAUAAAAAACCAACGCCCUUCGGGGCUCCUUGGUGAAUCAUAAUAACUUAACGAAUCGCAUGGCCUUGCGCCGGCGAUGGUUCAUUCAAAUUUCUGCCCUAUCAACUGUCGACUGUGAUAUAGACGCUCACAGUGGUUUUGACGGGUAACGGGGAAUCAGGGUUCGAUUCCGGAGAGGGAGCCUUAAAAACGGCUACCACAUCCAAGGAAGGCAGCAGG